This 30-nucleotide non-coding RNA is filed under the name Rattus norvegicus (Norway rat). The record is from RNAcentral. Lineage: Eukaryota; Metazoa; Chordata; Mammalia; Rodentia; Muridae.
UAAUUGUAGUAAUUAGUAGUCACUUUGUGC